GACGAACCGUCCAAACGUUAUUCGGAAUCACUGGGCUUAAAGGGUGCGUAGGCGGCGCGGCAAGUUGGGUGUGAAAUCCCUCGGCUCAACCGAGGAACUGCGCCCAAAACUGCCGUGCUCGAGGGAGAUAGAGGUGAGCGGAACUUAGGGUGGAGCGGUGAAAUGCGUAGAUAUCUGGAGGAACACCGGUGGCGAAGGCGGCGUCCUGGACCAACACUGACACUGAUGAGCGAAAGCCAGGGGAGCAAACGGG
RNAcentral lists this ribosomal RNA (253 nucleotides) under uncultured bacterium. Its description in RNAcentral is "partial 16S ribosomal RNA". It matches the Rfam family "Bacterial small subunit ribosomal RNA", at positions 524 to 776 of the family's 1533-position model. The record is from RNAcentral.